Molecule: ribosomal RNA, 446 nt
Filed under: uncultured bacterium
Lineage: Bacteria
Description: SSU rRNA
Rfam family: Bacterial small subunit ribosomal RNA
Source: RNAcentral
AGAACGAACGCUGGCGGCAUGCCUAACACAUGCAAGUCGAACGAGACCUUCGGGUCUAGUGGCGCACGGGUGCGUAACGCGUGGGAAUCUGCCCAAAGGUUCGGAAUAACUCAGGGAAACUUGAGCUAAUACCGGAUGAUGUCGCAAGACCAAAGAUUUAUCGCCUUUGGAUGAGCCCGCGUAGGAUUAGCUUGUUGGUGAGGUAAAGGCUCACCAAGGCUACGAUCCUUAGCUGGUCUGAGAGGAUGAUCAGCCACACUGGGACUGAGACACGGCCCAGACUCCUACGGGAGGCAGCAGUGGGGAAUAUUGGACAAUGGGCGAAAGCCUGAUCCAGCAAUGCCGCGUGAGUGAUGAAGGCCCUAGGGUUGUAAAGCUCUUUUACCCGGGAAGAUAAUGACUGUACCGGGAGAAUAAGCCCCGGCUAACUCCGCGCCAGCAGCCGC